GAAGGGGGCGAGCGUUGUUCGGAUUUACUGGGCGUAAAGGGCGCGUAGGCGGCCAUCUUUGUCAGGCGUGAAAGCCCCGGGCUCAACCUGGGAACUGCGUCUGGGACGGGGCGGCUAGAGAUCGGGAGAGGAGCGUGGAAUUCCCAGUGUAGAGGUGAAAUUCGUAGAUAUUGGGAAGAACACCGGUGGCGAAGGCGGCGCUCUGGACCGAUACUGACGCUGAGGCGCGAAAGCGUGGGGAGCAAACAGGAUUAGAUACCCUGGUAGUCCACGCUGUAAACGAUGUGUGCUAGACGUUGGGGAGCCUAGCUCUUCGGUGUCGCAGCUAACGCGGUAAGCACACCGCCUGGGGAGUACGGCCGCAAGGUUA
This 370-nucleotide ribosomal RNA is filed under the name uncultured bacterium. Its description in RNAcentral is "bacterial SSU rRNA". It matches the Rfam family "Bacterial small subunit ribosomal RNA", at positions 527 to 896 of the family's 1533-position model. The record is from RNAcentral.